This 405-nucleotide ribosomal RNA is filed under the name uncultured bacterium. RNAcentral's name for it is "bacterial SSU rRNA". It matches the Rfam family "Bacterial small subunit ribosomal RNA", at positions 370 to 772 of the family's 1533-position model. The record is from RNAcentral.
AAUGGACGCAAGUCUGAACCAGCCAUGCCGCGUGGAGGAUGACAGCCUUCUGGGUUGUAAACUUCUUUUAUAUGGGAAGAAAAGUACGGUUUCUACUGUAUCCGACGGUACCAUAUGAAUAAGCACCGGCUAACUCCGUGCCAGCAGCCGCGGUAAUACGGAGGGUGCAAGCGUUAUCCGGAUUUACUGGGUUUAAAGGGUGUGUAGGCGGAUAUUUAAGUCAGAGGUGAAAUCUCCGGGCUCAACCCGGAAACUGCCUUUGAUACUAUUUAUCUUGAAUUUCGUUGAGGUUGGCGGAAUAUAUCAUGUAGCGGUGAAAUGCAUAGAUAUGAUAUAGAACACCGAUUGCGUAGGCAGCUGGCUGAACGAACAUUGACGCUGAGGCACGAAAGCGUGGGUAGCGAA